Molecule: long non-coding RNA, 1677 nt
Organism: Drosophila ananassae
Lineage: Eukaryota; Metazoa; Arthropoda; Insecta; Diptera; Drosophilidae
Exons: 2
Source: RefSeq, a predicted model, not a curated record
UUACUUUCGAAUAGUGUUGAAGAGAAGAAAUAGCCAUGUAGCUAUGACUUGCUAUUGCCAGUAAAUAAUUUUGAGCUGCUAAAUGGCAACUGUGCUGGCUCAUAAAUACAAGCGCCAACUAGAGCUCCAACCGAGCUGGCCGAGAAUUUAUUGGCAACACUUAAUCUAAGCUGUCAAUGUGGAUGCAACAGUAGCAGUACCAGCUCCAAAUAACAACAACAACAGUAAUUGGGGGAAACUAUCGUAAUUGUCGGGGAUUACGGAAAAAAACGUAAAAGUGCAGAACGGCACGUGAAUGCGGCCGUUACGUUCAGAAUUGGCCAAAGUGAAGAAGUCGUAAAGUUUUAGUUGCAUUCCGGCUUCUUGGCCCUCGAAUGAGACGCUUAAUUUAUGUUUCAAUUCCAAUUAGCCAACGAGGCGCUGGCUUUUAUGCUACUUUUCAUUUGUUUCGCUCUCAUAUGCACUGGAAAAAAGGUAUACUGUUGUCCAAACUUUCAUUGUUUGCUUGAAAAUCUUAUUUCUUACUGUGUAUUUUGGUAAUUGACUUUCGGCCUGGCCCUGACGCGUCAUUUGUAAUUGUAUAUCAACACGAAGGAUGAGGAGGAGGAGUCAGGGGUCGUGGGAGAGCCACGUUUAUUAGCCAUGGCCAAAUGCAGCUAAUUGAAGUUCAAAUUGCGUUGGCGCAAGAGUCGAAGAGUCGAAGAAAGACGGCCAAAGGCGUCGAAAGGCCAGGGAAAAGGAAACCGUUGAAAUGUAAGCACUCACAUGUGAUUCCUGUCAGUUCAAUAAAUCGUUAAGUCAGACGACAACGCAGACGUAAACGAAGACGAAUCCACUUAAGACCACCACACAAUCGGCUAAGAAAAGCAGGGCCGAUAGCCAGGGAAAUAAAAUCAAGCAUAAAUGCAAUAAUACAAUUUAUGUGCCAAAUUUCAUGAGGACCAUAAUGGACACACCCAUGCACACCUUCUGUCCUUCUGCCAUGAUUUCUUCAGCACAUAUACGGAACCAACAAAGGUGACUUUCUGAAGUUCUCCUCGCAAUCGAUGUAAUCGUAAUCACAUUUGGCGCCGAGAUGUUGAUGCCAUUUGAUAUUUACGAGUGUGUGUCCAUUUUCGUUGGGCUGAACUUUUCCAGCACCGUCACUCCGGUCGAGGCAACAAUGUCCCAACACUUGGCCGAGUCCCAUCCACCUCUCGGCCCUUCUAUCAUCAUCCCCCAUCCUCGUACUGGGCCAGUCUCCUUUGGCAAGUUAACAACAUUUGCUUGACGUUUGCCAAUUGCAUUAUGACUCAAUUGUGAGUUGAACGAUUUUAUGGACGAGCUGCAGAAUCAGAAUCGGAAUCAGACACAGAGAGGCAACUUCAAGUCGAGUGUUGGUCCAUUGAGAAUGAAACGGAAACGGAAACGGAAACGGAAACAGAGUCUCUUGCCGGAUAACUCUUAUUGUGGCUUCAAAAUGAGUGGGUGUAUUGCAACAUCUGUGACAAUGUCUAGUUAGAAAAUGUAACCCUUCAAAGUUUGAGAUUUUAGCUUUAAGAUUUUUUAUAUUUUUUAAGUUAUAAUAAGCUUAACCUUAAACCUUUAACCAAAAGUCAUAGAGUCUUCUGAAGAGUCACUUUACUUUAUUGGUGCGAAAGCCAGAAAUAAACUCACAAUCAGGUGGAAUAUAAUAUA